RNAcentral lists this ribosomal RNA (301 nucleotides) under uncultured bacterium. RNAcentral describes it as "partial 16S ribosomal RNA". It matches the Rfam family "Bacterial small subunit ribosomal RNA", at positions 509 to 809 of the family's 1533-position model. The record is from RNAcentral.
CAGCAGCCGCGGUAAUACGGAGGGAGCUAGCGUUAUUCGGAAUUACUGGGCGUAAAGCGCACGUAGGCGGCUUUGUAAGUUAGAGGUGAAAGCCUGGAGCUCAACUCCAGAAUUGCCUUUAAGACUGCAUCGCUUGAAUCCAGGAGAGGUGAGUGGAAUUCCGAGUGUAGAGGUGAAAUUCGUAGAUAUUCGGAAGAACACCAGUGGCGAAGGCGGCUCACUGGACUGGUAUUGACGCUGAGGUGCGAAAGCGUGGGGAGCAAACAGGAUUAGAGACCCCCGUAGUCCCUGUCUCUUAUAA